CCCUUAGAUGUUCUGGGCCGCACGCGCGCUACACUGAUGCAUUCAACGAGCCUAUCCUUGACCGACAGGUCCGGGUAAUCUUUGAAUCUGCAUCGUGACGGGGAUAGAUUAUUGCAAUUAUUAAUCUUCAACGAGGAAUGCCUAGUAGGCGCAAGUCAUCAGCUUGCGUCGAUUACGUCCCUGCCCUUUGUACACACCGCCCGUCGCUCCUACCGAUUGAAUGAUCCGAUGAAUAUCAUGGAUUGAGGAUGCAAGUAGGUUCACCUAUCUUCAUCUUCGAGAAGUGAAGUAAAUCUUAUCAUUUAGAGGAAGGAGAAGUCGUAACA
Molecule: ribosomal RNA, 326 nt
Filed under: uncultured eukaryote
Lineage: Eukaryota
Description: partial 18S ribosomal RNA
Rfam family: Eukaryotic small subunit ribosomal RNA
Source: RNAcentral